Molecule: ribosomal RNA, 270 nt
Filed under: uncultured bacterium
Lineage: Bacteria
Description: partial 16S ribosomal RNA
Rfam family: Bacterial small subunit ribosomal RNA
Source: RNAcentral
GAUGAACGCUAGCGGCAGGCCUAAUACAUGCAAGUCGAGGGGCAUCACGGUAGCAAUACUGGUGGCGACCGGCGCACGGGUGCGUAACACGUAUACAAUCUGCCUUUAACAGGGGGAUAGCCUUUCGAAAGAGAGAUUAAUACCCCAUAACAUAUUGAAUAGCAUUAUUUGAUAUUAAAAGCUCCGGCGGUUAGAGAUGAGUAUGCGUCUGAUUAGCUAGUUGGUGAGGUAACGGCUCACCAAGGCGACGAUCAGUAGGGGAUCUGAGAG